GACGAACGCUGGCGGCGUGCUUAACACAUGCAAGUCGAACGGGCCUUGUCCCCUUUUUUUUUGGGGGCGGGGUUAGUGGCGAACGGGUGAGUAACACGUGAGUAACCUGCCCCUCACUUCUGGAUAACCGCUUGAAAGGGUGGCUAAUACGGGGUGUUCUGGCCUGCUCGCAUGGGUGGGUUUGGAAAGAUUCGACCGGUUUUGGUUGGUUUGGGGGGGGAUGGGCUCGCGGCCUAUCAGCUUGUUGGUGGGGUGAUGGCCUGCCAAGGCUUUGCCGGGUAGCCGGCCUGAGAGGGUGUGCGGUCACUCUGGGACUGAGACACGGCCCAGACUCCUACGGGAGGCAGCAGUGGGGUAUAUUGCACAAUGGGCGCAAGCCUGAUGCAGCGACGCCGCGUGAGGGAUGGAGGCCUUCGGGUUGUGAACCUCUUUCGCCAGUGAAGAAGGUCCUGCUCUUUGUGGUGGGGUUGACGGUAGCUGGGUUAAUGAAGCGCCGGCUAACUACGUG
This 508-nucleotide ribosomal RNA is filed under the name uncultured bacterium. Its description in RNAcentral is "partial 16S ribosomal RNA". It matches the Rfam family "Bacterial small subunit ribosomal RNA", at positions 28 to 507 of the family's 1533-position model. The record is from RNAcentral.